UUCCCAAUUAGUAAGACCCCUUGAAGACGACGAGGUAGAUAGGUUGGAGGUGGAAGUGCAGCAAUGCAUGGAGCUGACCAAUACUAAUCGGUCGAGGGCUUAUCCUA
This 107-nucleotide non-coding RNA is filed under the name Paenibacillus antarcticus. RNAcentral describes it as "Bacterial large subunit ribosomal RNA". It matches the Rfam family "Bacterial large subunit ribosomal RNA", at positions 2811 to 2925 of the family's 2925-position model. RNAcentral also lists the same sequence under 1 other name. The record is from Rfam by way of RNAcentral. Lineage: Bacteria; Bacillati; Bacillota; Bacilli; Caryophanales; Paenibacillaceae.